UACAGAGGUGGCAAGCGUUGUUCGGAAUCACUGGGCGUAAAGGGCGCGUAGGUGGCGGGCCAAGUCCAUGGUGAAAGCUCGAUGCUCAACAUCGAGUCGGCCACGGAUACUGGUUUGCUGGAGCACUGUAGAGGCAGAUGGAAUUCCGGGUGUAGCGGUGGAAUGCGUAGAGAUCCGGAAGAACACCGGUGGCGAAGGCGGUCUGCUGGGCAGUUGCUGACACUGAGGCGCGACAGCGUGGGGAGCAAACAGG
Molecule: ribosomal RNA, 253 nt
Filed under: uncultured bacterium
Lineage: Bacteria
Description: partial 16S ribosomal RNA
Rfam family: Bacterial small subunit ribosomal RNA
Source: RNAcentral